This 1370-nucleotide ribosomal RNA is filed under the name Brenneria salicis. RNAcentral describes it as "bacterial SSU rRNA". It matches the Rfam family "Bacterial small subunit ribosomal RNA", at positions 69 to 1433 of the family's 1533-position model. Lineage: Bacteria; Pseudomonadati; Pseudomonadota; Gammaproteobacteria; Enterobacterales; Pectobacteriaceae. The record is from RNAcentral.
CACAGAGGAGCUUGCUCCUUGGGUGACGAGCGGCGGACGGGUGAGUAAAGUCUGGGGAUCUGCCUGAUGGAGGGGGAUAACUACUGGAAACGGUAGCUAAUACCGCAUGACGUCUUCGGACCAAAGUGGGGGACCUUCGGGCCUCACGCCAUGAGAUGAACCCAGAUGGGAUUAGCUGGUAGGUGAGGUAACGGCUCACCUAGGCGACGAUCCCUAGCUGGUCUGAGAGGAUGACCAGCCACACUGGAACUGAGACACGGUCCAGACUCCUACGGGAGGCAGCAGUGGGGAAUAUUGCACAAUGGGGGAAACCCUGAUGCAGCCAUGCCGCGUGUGUGAAGAAGGCCUUCGGGUUGUAAAGCACUUUCAGCGGGGAGGAAGGCAAUAAACUUAAUAAGUUUGUUGAUUGACGUUACCCGCAGAAGAAGCACCGGCUAACUCCGUGCCAGCAGCCGCGGUAAUACGGAGGGUGCAAGCGUUAAUCGGAAUGACUGGGCGUAAAGCGCACGCAGGCGGUCUGUUAAGUUGGAUGUGAAAUCCCCGGGCUCAACCCGGGAACAGCAUUCAAAACUGACAGGCUAGAGUCUCGUAGAGGGGGGUAGAAUUCCAGGUGUAGCGGUGAAAUGCGUAGAGAUCUGGAGGAAUACCGGUGGCGAAGGCGGCCCCCUGGACGAAGACUGACGCUCAGGUGCGAAAGCGUGGGGAGCAAACAGGAUUAGAUACCCUGGUAGUCCACGCCGUAAACGAUGUCGACUUGGAGGCUGUGGUCUUGAACCGUGGCUUCCGGAGCUAACGCGUUAAGUCGACCGCCUGGGGAGUACGGCCGCAAGGUUAAAACUCAAAUGAAUUGACGGGGGCCCGCACAAGCGGUGGAGCAUGUGGUUUAAUUCGAUGCAACGCGAAGAACCUUACCUACUCUUGACAUCCAGAGAAGACUGUAGAGAUACGGUUGUGCCUUCGGGAGCUCUGAGACAGGUGCUGCAUGGCUGUCGUCAGCUCGUGUUGUGAAAUGUUGGGUUAAGUCCCGCAACGAGCGCAACCCUUAUCCUUUGUUGCCAGCGAUACGGUCGGGAACUCAAAGGAGACUGCCGGUGAUAAACCGGAGGAAGGUGGGGAUGACGUCAAGUCAUCAUGGCCCUUACGAGUAGGGCUACACACGUGCUACAAUGGCGCAUACAAAGAGAAGCGAGCCUGCGAGGGUGAGCGGACCUCAUAAAGUGCGUCGUAGUCCGGAUUGGAGUCUGCAACUCGACUCCAUGAAGUCGGAAUCGCUAGUAAUCGUAGAUCAGAAUGCUACGGUGAAUACGUUCCCGGGCCUUGUACACACCGCCCGUCACACCAUGGGAGUGGGUUGCAAAAGAAGUAGGUAG